GUACACUCCUACGGGAGGCAGCAGUGGGGAAUAUUGAACAAUGGGCGCAAGCCUGAUCCAGCCAUGCCGCGUGAGUGAUGAAGGCCCUAGGGUUGUAAAGCUCUUUCACCGGUGAAGAUAAUGACGGUAACCGGAGAAGAAGCCCCGGCUAACUUCGUGCCAGCAGCCGCGGUAAUACGAAGGGGGCUAGCGUUGUUCGGAUUUACUGGGCGUAAAGCGCACGUAGGCGGACUAUUAAGUCAGGGGUGAAAUCCCGGGGCUCAACCCCGGAACUGCCUUUGAUACUGGUAGUCUUGAGUUCGAGAGAGGUGAGUGGAAUUCCGAGUGUAGAGGUGAAAUUCGUAGAUAUUCGGAGGAACACCAGUGGCGAAGGCGGCUCACUGGCUCGAUACUGACGCUGAGGUGCGAAAGCGUGGGGAGCAAACAGGAUUAGAAACCCGAGUAGUCCAAUG
Molecule: ribosomal RNA, 452 nt
Filed under: uncultured organism
Description: partial 16S ribosomal RNA
Rfam family: Bacterial small subunit ribosomal RNA
Source: RNAcentral